UACGUAGGGUGCAAGCGUUGCCCGGAUUUAUUGGGCGUAAAGGGCGCGCAGGCGGCUACGCACGUCCGUUGUGAAAUCGCUCGGCUCAACUGGGCGGGGUCGGCGGAUACGGCGUAGCUGGAGCAAGCUAGGGGGCAAUGGAAUUCCCGGUGUAGUGGUGGAAUGCGUAGAUAUCGGGAGGAACACCAGUGGCGAAGGCGGUUGCCUGGAGCUUUGCUGACGCUGAGGCGCGAAAGCGUGGAGAGCGAUCCGG
RNAcentral lists this ribosomal RNA (253 nucleotides) under uncultured bacterium. RNAcentral's name for it is "partial 16S ribosomal RNA". It matches the Rfam family "Bacterial small subunit ribosomal RNA", at positions 524 to 776 of the family's 1533-position model. The record is from RNAcentral.